RNAcentral lists this ribosomal RNA (977 nucleotides) under uncultured Vibrionaceae bacterium. RNAcentral's name for it is "bacterial SSU rRNA". It matches the Rfam family "Bacterial small subunit ribosomal RNA", at positions 37 to 989 of the family's 1533-position model. The record is from RNAcentral. Lineage: Bacteria; Pseudomonadati; Pseudomonadota; Gammaproteobacteria; Vibrionales; Vibrionaceae.
UGGCGGCAGGCUACACAUGCAAGUCGACGCGGUAACAGGAAGAAGCUUGCUUCUUUGCUGACGAGCGGCGGACGGGUGAGUAAUGCCUGGGAAUAUGCCUUAGUGUGGGGGAUAACUAUUGGAAACGAUAGCUAAUACCGCAUAACGUCCUUGNUCUUUACGGGCAGGGACCAAAGAGGGGGACCUUCGGGCCUCUCGCGCUAAGAUUAGCCCAGGUGGGAUUAGCUAGUUGGUGGGGUAAAGGCUCACCAAGGCAACGAUCCCUAGCUGGUCUGAGAGGAUGAUCAGCCACACUGGAACUGAGACACGGUCCAGACUCCUACGGGAGGCAGCAGUGGGGAAUAUUGCACAAUGGGGGAAACCCUGAUGCUGCCAUGCCGCGUGUAUGAAGAAGGCCUUCGGGUUGUAAAGUACUUUCAGUCGUGAGGAAGGGUGUGUAGUUAAUAGCUGCGCAUUUUGACGUUAGCGACAGAAGAAGCACCGGCUAACUCCGUGCCAGCAGCCGCGGUAAUACGGAGGGUGCGAGUGUUAAUCGGAAUUACUGGGCGUAAAGCGCAUGCAGGCGGUUAGUUAAGCGAGAUGUGAAAGCCCGGGGCUCAACCUCGGAACAGCAUUUCGAACUGGCUAACUAGAGUCUUGUAGAGGGGGGUAGAAUUUCAGGUGUAGCGGUGAAAUGCGUAGAGAUCUGAAGGAAUACCGGUGGCGAAGGCGGCCCCCUGGACAAAGACUGACGCUCAGAUGCGAAAGCGUGGGGAGCAAACAGGAUUAGAUACCCUGGUAGUCCACGCCGUAAACGAUGUCUACUUGGAGGUUGUGGCCUUGAGCCGUGGCUUUCGGAGCUAACGCGUUAAGUAGACCGCCUGGGGAGUACGGUCGCAAGAUUAAAACUCAAAUGAAUUGACGGGGGCCCGCACAAGCGGUGGAGCAUGUGGUUUAAUUCGAUGCAACGCGAAAAACCUUACCUACUCUUGACAUCC